AUUUGACCUCAAAUCAGGUAGGGACACCCGCUGAACUUAAGCAUAUCAAUAAGCGGAGGAAAAGAAAAUAACAAUGAUUCCCCUAGUAACUGCGAGUGAAGAGGGACAAGCUCAAAUUUUAAAUCUGUCGGGUUUUACCUGACCGAGUUGUAAUUUGAAGAAGCGUUUUCUGCGUAUUUGGUCAGCCCAAGUCCUAUUGAAUGAGGCAUCAUGGAGGGUGAUAAUCCCGUCCGGUUGAUCAUUGCGUUUUAUGAUACGCUUUCUAAGAGUCAAGUUGUUUGGGAUUGCAGCUUAAAAUGGGAGGUAAAUUUCUCCUAAGGCUAAAUAACGGCGAGAGACCGAUAGCGAACAAGUACCGUGAGGGAAAGAUGAAAAGAACUUUGAAAAGAGAGUUAAACAGUACGUGAAAUUGUUGAAAGGGAAACGAUUGAAGCCAGUCGUACCUUCGGGUAAUCAGCCUUUCGGGCGCGAUUCUGUGAGGUGUGAGGAGCUAAACACCUUCAUGUUUUGCAUAUUCGUGCUCUUGGGUGUACUUGCCCGUGUGGUUGGUUAACAUCAAUUUUGGAGGCCAUAAAAUGGCUGGAGGAAUGUAGCUUCGAUCUCGUAUUGAAGUGUUAUAGCCUUCGGUAGAUGUGGUUUUCGAGAUUGAGGAUUGCAACGGAUACCCUUCGGGGCUACCUGCCUGAUCUCUGAUUGUUGCUCUGGUGCUGAAAGCUUGCUUAUGGUUAUCAAAGUCGAUGGUCAAUAGGUUAGAAUGGGUUAAAUUCGUUAAGGAUGUUGACGUAAUGGCUUUAAACGACCCGUCUUGAAACACGGACCGAGGAGUCUAGCAUAUAUGCGAGU
RNAcentral lists this ribosomal RNA (843 nucleotides) under uncultured Glomeromycotina. RNAcentral describes it as "eukaryotic LSU rRNA". It matches the Rfam family "Eukaryotic large subunit ribosomal RNA", at positions 1 to 691 of the family's 3401-position model. Lineage: Eukaryota; Fungi; Glomeromycota. The record is from RNAcentral.